CAAUAAGCGGAGGAAAAGAAACCAACAGGGAUUGCUCUAGUAACGGCGAGUGAAGCAGCAAUAGCUCAAAUUUGAAAUCUGGCGUCUUCGACGUCCGAGUUGUAAUUUGUAGAGGAUGCUUCUGAGUAACCACCGACCUAAGUUCCUUGGAACAGGACGUCAUAGAGGGUGAGAAUCCCGUAUGCGGUCGGAAAGGUGCUCUACACGUAGCUCCUUCGACGAGUCGAGUUGUUUGGGAAUGCAGCUCUAAAUGGGAGGUAAAUUUCUUCUAAAGCUAAAUAUUGGCCAGAGACCGAUAGCGCACAAGUAGAGUGAUCGAAAGAUGAAAAGCACUUUGGAAAGAGAGUUAAAAAGCACGUGAAAUUGUUAAAAGGGAAGGGAUUGCAACCAGACUUGCUCGCGGUGUUCCGCCGGUCUUCUGACCGGUCUACUCGCCGCGUUGCAGGCCAGCAUCGUCUGGUGCCGCUGGAUAAGACUUGAGGAAUGUAGCUCCCUCGGGAGUGUUAUAGCCUCUUGUGAUGCAGCGAGCGCCGGGCGAGGUCCGCGCUUCGGCUAGGAUGCUGGCGUAAUGGUCGUAAUCCGCCCGUCUUGAAACACGGACCAAGGAGUCUAACAUCUAU
Molecule: ribosomal RNA, 620 nt
Filed under: Cladosporium silenes
Lineage: Eukaryota; Fungi; Ascomycota; Dothideomycetes; Cladosporiales; Cladosporiaceae
Description: LSU rRNA
Rfam family: Eukaryotic large subunit ribosomal RNA
Source: RNAcentral